RNAcentral lists this ribosomal RNA (255 nucleotides) under uncultured bacterium. RNAcentral describes it as "partial 16S ribosomal RNA". It matches the Rfam family "Bacterial small subunit ribosomal RNA", at positions 524 to 777 of the family's 1533-position model. The record is from RNAcentral.
UACGAAGGGGGCUAGCGUUGUUCGGAAUCACUGGGCGUAAAGCGCACGUAGGCGGAUCUUUAAGUCAGAGGUGAAAUCCCAAGGCUCAACCUUGGAACUGCCUUUGAUACUGGGGAUCUUGAGUCCGGGAGAGGUGAGUGGAACUGCGAGUGUAGAGGUGAAAUUCGUAGAUAUUCGCAAGAACACCAGUGGCGAAGGCGGCUCACUGGCCCGGUACUGACGCUGAGGUGCGAAAAGCGUGGGGAGCAAACAGGG